Non-coding RNA from Penaeus vannamei (Pacific white shrimp), 275 nucleotides. NCBI's taxonomy places the organism in Eukaryota, Metazoa, Arthropoda, Malacostraca, Decapoda, Penaeidae. The record is from RefSeq and is a predicted model, not a curated record.
CUCCACUUGUGGUAGAUGGUGGAUUCAGUUGUGGAUGGAGUUUCAGCUCCACUUGUGGUAGAUAUUGAGGACUCAGUUGUGGAUGGAGUUUCAGCUCCACUUGUGGUAGAAUUGAGGUGGAUUCAGUUGUGGAUGGAGUUUCAGCUCCACUUGUGGUAGAAAGCGAGGUGGAUUCAGUUGUGGAUGGAGUUUCAGCUCCACUUGUGGUAGAAAUUGAGGUGGAUUCAGUUGUGGAUGGAGUUUCAGCUCCACUUGUGGUAGAAAUUGAGGUGGAU